AGUGAACGCUGGCGGUGGGCCUAACACAUGCAAGUCGAACGGCAGCACAGUAAGAGCUUGCUCUUACGGGUGGCGAGUGGCGGACGGGUGAGGAAUACAUCGGAAUCUACUUUUUCGUGGGGGAUAACGUAGGGAAACUUACGCUAAUACCGCAUACGACCUACGGGUGAAAGCAGGGGAUCUUCGGACCUUGCGCGAUUGAAUGAGCCGAUGUCGGAUUAGCUAGUUGGCGGGGUAAAGGCCCACCAAGGCGACAAUCCGUAGCGGGUCUGAGAGGAUGAUCAGCCACACUGGAACUGAGACACGGUCCAGACUCCUACGGGAGGCAGCAGUGGGGAAUAUUGGACAAUGGGCGCAAGCCUGAUCCAGCCAUACCGCGUGGGUGAAGAAGGCCUUCGGGUUGUAAAGCCCUUUUGUUGGGAAAGAAAAGCAGCAGGUUAAUACCCCGCUGUUCUGACGGUACCCAAAGAAUAAGCACCGGCUAACUUCGUG
This 492-nucleotide ribosomal RNA is filed under the name uncultured bacterium. RNAcentral's name for it is "partial 16S ribosomal RNA". It matches the Rfam family "Bacterial small subunit ribosomal RNA", at positions 29 to 507 of the family's 1533-position model. The record is from RNAcentral.